This 253-nucleotide ribosomal RNA is filed under the name uncultured bacterium. Its description in RNAcentral is "partial 16S ribosomal RNA". It matches the Rfam family "Bacterial small subunit ribosomal RNA", at positions 524 to 776 of the family's 1533-position model. The record is from RNAcentral.
UACGGAGGGUGCAAGCGUUAUCCGGAUUCACUGGGCUUAAAGGGUGCGUAGGCGGGCAGGCAAGUCCGGGGUGAAAUCUCUGAGCUUAACUCAGAAACUGCCAUGGAUACUAUUUGUCUUGAAUAUUGUGGAGGUAAGCGGAAUAUGUCAUGUAGCGGUGAAAUGCUUAGAUAUGACAUAGAACACCAAUUGCGAAGGCAGCUUACUACACAGUUAUUGACGCUGAGGCACGAAAGCGUGGGGAUCAAACAGG